RNAcentral lists this ribosomal RNA (319 nucleotides) under uncultured bacterium. RNAcentral's name for it is "bacterial SSU rRNA". It matches the Rfam family "Bacterial small subunit ribosomal RNA", at positions 29 to 339 of the family's 1533-position model. The record is from RNAcentral.
AAUGAACGCUGGCGGCGCGCCUAAUACAUGCAAGUCGAGCGAGAAGACGUAGCAAUACGUUUGUAAAGCGGCGAACGGGUGAGGAAUACAUGGGUAACCUACCCUAGAGUGGGGAAUAACUAGCCGAAAGGUUAGCUAAUACCGCGUACGCUCCUUGGGCCUCGGUUCAGGGAGGAAAGCGAUGCCGAGGGUAUCGCGCUCUUGGAUGGGCUCAUGUCCUAUCAGCUUGNGGUGAGGUAACGGCUCACCAAGGCUUCGACGGGUAGCUGGUCUGAGAGGACGAUCAGCCACACUGGCACUGCGACACGGGCCAGACUCC